RNAcentral lists this transfer RNA (73 nucleotides) under Ovis aries (sheep). It matches the Rfam family "tRNA". From Rfam's summary of the family: Transfer RNA (tRNA) molecules are approximately 80 nucleotides in length. Their secondary structure includes four short double-helical elements and three loops (D, anti-codon, and T loops). Lineage: Eukaryota; Metazoa; Chordata; Mammalia; Artiodactyla; Bovidae. The record is from Rfam by way of RNAcentral.
UUCCUGGUGGUCCAGUGGUUAAGACUCUGUGUUUACAAUGCAGGGACACAGGUUUGAUCUCCGGUCAAGGAAC